This 148-nucleotide non-coding RNA is filed under the name Nomascus leucogenys (northern white-cheeked gibbon). Lineage: Eukaryota; Metazoa; Chordata; Mammalia; Primates; Hylobatidae. The record is from Rfam by way of RNAcentral.
GCCAGGCAUGGUAGUGCAUGCCUGUGGUCCCAGCUACUUAGGAGGCUGAGGUAGGAGGAUCACUUGAGCCUGGGAAGUUGAGGCUGCAGUGAGCUAUGAUCGUGCCACUGCACUUCAGCCCAGGUGACAGAGAGAGACCCUGUCUCAA